RNAcentral lists this ribosomal RNA (333 nucleotides) under uncultured bacterium. RNAcentral's name for it is "bacterial SSU rRNA". It matches the Rfam family "Bacterial small subunit ribosomal RNA", at positions 568 to 898 of the family's 1533-position model. The record is from RNAcentral.
CGCGUAGGUGGUUGGGUAGGUUGGUGGUGAAAGGUGCGGGCUUAACCCGCAUAGGUCCACCAAGACCGCUCGACUGUGAGGGCAGUAGAGGAAGGUGGAAUUCCGGGUGUAGUGGUGAAAUGCGUAGAUAUCCGGAGGAACACCGGUGGCGAAGGCGGCCUUCUGGGCUGUCCCUGACACUGAGGCGCGAAAGCGUGGGGAGCGAACUGAAUUAGAUACUCAGGUAGUCCACGCCCUCAACGAUGGACACUAGGUGUGGGGGGUAUCGACCCCUCCCGUGCCGGAGCUAACGCAGUAAGUGUCCCGCCUGGGGAGUACGGCCGCAAGGCUAAA